Molecule: non-coding RNA, 26 nt
Filed under: Mus musculus (house mouse)
Lineage: Eukaryota; Metazoa; Chordata; Mammalia; Rodentia; Muridae
Source: RNAcentral
ACUGUGAGCAUCAACUUCUGUGUUUG